Molecule: long non-coding RNA, 1824 nt
Organism: Theobroma umbraticum
Lineage: Eukaryota; Viridiplantae; Streptophyta; Magnoliopsida; Malvales; Malvaceae
Source: RefSeq, a predicted model, not a curated record
GAGAAAUUUCAAGUUUGUCUAAGUGUUUUAACUCAGUUUGACAGUGUUUGUCUUAUUCUGUAUGAAUUUUUUCUCUUGCAUUAAGUUCAUGAUUUAAUUUUCUUUGAAACGAAAAGGGCUAAGGGAUCUGAGCUUAGGCCCAAAGGACUUGUCUAAGGCCUAUGGGGCGGAUCGUCCAUCUCUUGCUGAUAUACCCAGAAUGAAGAGCGGCAUGGAAACAAAAGAGAAAGGGUGGAAGGGACAAGAAGAUGAGUGUAUUCGGAGGGGAUGGCUGGGGAUGAGAAGAAUAGAUCAAGUUGUUAUCGGAGGGGUUGAUGGGUCAUGUUAUAAGAAGCUCUCUACCGGAAAAUACGCCUGUAUUGUCUGCCCUCACAAUCCCAUCCUCUAUUCACCUCUCAUGCUUCUGUACGAAUUACUUUUAUUCACUCUCUUCCUUUCAAAUCUCUUUCAUUUGGCUUCAUUCUUUAUUUCAUAAUUAUAUGUCGGCUUCUACUGAAAAAAAAAAAAAAAGAAACAGAUUAUUGAAAACCCUUGUCCAUAAUCAAUAAUUGGAAAGAAAGAAAAAAUUUUUUUGGUAUUUUGGUUAUUCGGGUAGCAUAAUUCCGUGAACUGAUUAGAAGGCAGCUUGUUGCCUACUAUCAUGAAUUUGGGAUAUAAAUGUAUUCGAUAGUUAACCCAUUUUUUUUCUUUUGAAAGAAUACCCCUUGAGAGCUUCCUGAAUUGAGGCAACUUUGGUGGAAGGAAAUGUUUUUUAUCUAAUGGUUACAACUAUGUCACCUUCUUUCCUAUAUUGUAGGGUAGCCAUUUGAUAAGGCAAUUUUCCAUCUUUCCAUUUUCCUUUCUGCAUUGAAUUAGUUGCCUGUUUGAAUGAACUGGGAGUUUAGAAUUCAUAACUUGUUACUUGAUUGAAGAUUGACUAGGAACCCAUUGGAAAACUGGCGCUUACAGAUGAGCAAUCUCGUUCAUGUUGGAAGCAGUCCAGUACUUGUGGACUUGGUAUGCAAAAUUGAGUGCUGGCUGUGUUAUACAAUACUCAAUAACCCUUCUUAAACCUUUGUUUCUAUGCUAAUGCCUCUCUGGAGCGGGAGGAACAAUGUACUGGAUGUAGCUAUUGAAUCAUGCUCUGUAUCUUCACAAUGCCGUUGUCUGAUGGAUCUACUUCCUAGUUCCAUGAUGCGGUACAUUGUAUUUCACUGUUGAUAUGGCAGGAGGUGUAAGAGUCAAAUGAAAGGGAACCAUGUUACCUGCAAUGGAUGAAAUAUAAAAGGCUGAAAUGAUCUCUACUCUCGUGUCCCAGUGUUCUUUGUAAAUGUUGAAUCGGAGACAAAAUUGUCUUCAAUUAUCCCCCAUUAAAUUUCUAAUGAACCAAAAGGGUCAUCUUCUAAAGUACAAACCAUCACUGUAGUUACGAUCAAAGAGGAACUGUAUGCCAGCUCAGGAGACAUGCAAUGGGUUCGGAUAGGAUCGGACAACAAAUUAACAACCAAGGAUAGGUUGCGGACAAGAAAUCAAUAACGACACUCCUGAUGGAUUGGCGGAGGAUGCCAUACCAUCACUUACAAGCAAUAUUGACAUUUUGACCCCAAUGAAGCACAAAUUUCGCCACAAACUGCAUACAAACGACACUGUUAUGUGAUAUUUUCCCCAUAAAUAGACAUUGCUUGUAAUGUCAUUCUCACCUCUUUUCUAUUAAAUGAAUACGUCUAUAUUCUGAUGGCUGUUUAUAUCUAUCAGAAUCUCUUUAUUUUCAUUGUUCCAAAAUGUUUAGGGACCAUUUUGGAAGUUUUGUUGUACGUUUGUAUAUAUACAUACUGAUUAGUAGUA